AGUGAACGCUGGCGGUAGGCCUAACACAUGCAAGUCGAACGGCAGCACAGGAGCGCGUGCUCUCUGGGUGGCGAGUGGCGGACGGGUGAGGAAUACAUCGGAAUCUACUUUUUCGGGGGGGCUAACGGAGGGAAACUUACGAUAAUACCGCGUACGACCUACGGGUGAAAGCAGGGGACCUUCGGGCCUUGCGCGAUUGAAUGAGGCGGUGUCGGAUUAGCUAGUUGGCGGGGUAAAGGCCCACCAAGGGGACGAGCCGUAGCUGGUCUGAGAGGGUGAUCAGCCACACUGGAACUGAGACACGGUCCAGACUCCUACGGGAGGCAGCAGUGGGGAAUAUUGGGCAAUGGGCGCAAGCCUGAUCCAGCCAUACCGCGUGGGUGAAGAAGGCCUUCGGGUUGUAAAGCCCUUUUGUUGGGAAAGAAAUCCAGCUGGUUAAUACCCUGGGGUCAUGACGGUACCGUAAGAAUAAGCACCGGCUAACUACGUGCCAGCCGCCGCCGUAA
This 506-nucleotide ribosomal RNA is filed under the name uncultured bacterium. RNAcentral describes it as "partial 16S ribosomal RNA". It matches the Rfam family "Bacterial small subunit ribosomal RNA", at positions 29 to 523 of the family's 1533-position model. The record is from RNAcentral.